Molecule: long non-coding RNA, 595 nt
Organism: Alnus glutinosa
Lineage: Eukaryota; Viridiplantae; Streptophyta; Magnoliopsida; Fagales; Betulaceae
Exons: 3
Source: RefSeq, a predicted model, not a curated record
AUACCCCCCUCCCUCUCUCACGAUGCUCUCCCCUUUUCCUCUUCUCUUUUCCUUUUUUUUCCUUCUCCUCAUCUCCUCUCUCUUCCUCCUUCAUUCACGCACGCACAACCCAUGAGAGAGUGAGACGUUGCAGAUUUUUGGAGAGGGAGAUAGUGAGUACGACGCAGAGAAGAAAAGAAGAAGAAGAAGAGAAGGAGAAACGGAUUUCGUCCAUGGGUCUUUAUAAGGGUCGUGUCAUAAUUGGAGACUUCAAUGGGUUCUUCAAUGUUGAGUUCGAGUCAUGAGUCCAAAUGUCCAGUGCAGCCAAGAUGAUGUUCAUUUGGCUGCAGGUACUCCGAUCUUAGUUGAUGGUGUUGUAGAUGUGCACUUGGGAUAUUAUGAUCGAAGCUCGUCGUGAUGGUCAUAAUUGCGGGACCAUAGGUGUCCUCUGUUUUAUGGGUUUUGUUUAUGGCUUGUGACGCCUGUGUCACUUGCAAUUGUAUAAAGUCAUUUAUGUUAUAUAUUUAAUUUGAAGAAAGACUUAAAUAGAUAGAUGUAAUAUUGGCUCUUGAUUAUGAUUAAUUUAUGAUAGAAGUUUAAGAUGUGAUUUCCGCUA